This 95-nucleotide transfer RNA is filed under the name Streptomyces hundungensis. RNAcentral's name for it is "tRNA-Ser". The record is from RNAcentral. Lineage: Bacteria; Bacillati; Actinomycetota; Actinomycetes; Kitasatosporales; Streptomycetaceae.
UACCGGCCGCAGCGCGCGGUCGAUCACUUCGUGCGCUGGGCGAAAGAUUUGGACGACGAGCGGAUGAAGGCGGAGUUCUAUCCCCGGGUCGACAA